RNAcentral lists this ribosomal RNA (412 nucleotides) under uncultured bacterium. RNAcentral describes it as "bacterial SSU rRNA". It matches the Rfam family "Bacterial small subunit ribosomal RNA", at positions 8 to 422 of the family's 1533-position model. The record is from RNAcentral.
AGAGUUUGAUCCUGGCUCAGAUUGAACGCUGGCGGCAUACCUUACACAUGCAAGUCGAACGGCAGCACGGGAGCAAUCCUGGUGGCGAGUGGCGAACGGGUGAGUAAUGUAUCGGAACGUACCUUUCAGUGGGGGAUAACGUAGCGAAAGUUACGCUAAUACCGCAUAUUCUGUGAGCAGGAAAGCAGGGGAUCGCAAGACCUUGCGCUGAUUGAGCGGCCGAUAUCAGAUUAGCUAGUUGGUGAGGUAAAGGCUCACCAAGGCGACGAUCUGUAGCGGGUCUGAGAGGAUGAUCCGCCACACUGGAACUGAGACACGGUCCAGACUCCUACGGGAGGCAGCAGUGGGGAAUUUUGGACAAUGGGGGCAACCCUGAUCCAGCCAUGCCGCGUGAGUGAAGAAGGCCUUCGGG